GUGCUCAUUUUGGCAGCACAUAUACUAAAAUUGGAAAGAUACAGAGAAGAUUAGCAUGGCCCCUGCACA
Molecule: small nuclear RNA, 69 nt
Filed under: Otolemur garnettii (small-eared galago)
Lineage: Eukaryota; Metazoa; Chordata; Mammalia; Primates; Galagidae
Source: RNAcentral